UCGCCUGUUUAACAAAAACAUGUCUUUUUGAUUAUAAUUUAAAGUUUGGCCUGCCCUAUGAAUAAGUUAUUUUUAAAUGGCUGCGGUACUCUGACCGUGCAAAGGUAGCAUAAUAAUUAGUUUUUUAAUUGGGAACUGGUAUGAAAGGUCGCACGAGAAAAAGACUGUCUCAAUUUAAUUUAAAUUAGAAUUUUAUUUUUAAGUAAAAAAGCUUAAAUAUUUUUAAAAGACGAGAAGACCCUAUAGAGUUUUAUAUAACUUAAUAUUUUUAAAAGUUAAAGAAUUUUAAAUUUAGUUAUAUUAAGUUAUAUUUGGUUGGGGCAAUUAAAAAAUUAAAUAAAUUUUUUUUAAAUUAUAACAUUGAUAUAUGAAUAAGUGAUCCAUAUUUUAUGAUUAGAAGAUUAAAUUACCUUAGGGAUAACAGCGUAAUUUUUUUUAGAGUUCUUAUCGAAAAAAAAGUUUGCGACCUCGAUGUUGGAUUAAAA
Molecule: ribosomal RNA, 485 nt
Filed under: Dendropaemon fredericki
Lineage: Eukaryota; Metazoa; Arthropoda; Insecta; Coleoptera; Scarabaeidae
Description: partial large subunit ribosomal RNA
Rfam family: Bacterial large subunit ribosomal RNA
Source: RNAcentral